Grammomys surdaster is the source of this 521-nucleotide long non-coding RNA. RefSeq lists it as uncharacterized. The record is from RefSeq and is a predicted model, not a curated record. NCBI's taxonomy places the organism in Eukaryota, Metazoa, Chordata, Mammalia, Rodentia, Muridae. The transcript has 2 exons.
AUUUUCUGCCUCUGAAGUACAACUAUCAAAUGAACUAAUUAAUAUAUAUCUUGAUGAUAUACUCCAAAAACAAUGCUCAAUUCUUCUACAAAGGACAACAGUUUUUUAACUAAGAAUGAAAUCUAAACAUAACUAUACCAUGCAGACAUUUCCCCCUGUAUUUUAAUGGAAGUUUAUCUUUAAGAGGUGAUCUCUCCAGACCCCUGUUUAAUGCCCUGUUGGACAGGACAUUUUGGUGCCCCACUUUGGGCGCCCCAACCCUGUGACUGAGCGAUGACUUUCUUGGAGAGAUGAAGACAGCUCUAUGUGAGUCCAGCUGUCCUUUCUAGCCCCCUAAGUCACUGAACUAGCAGGUGGCGUGAACAAUGAGGCUGGAAGCCACCAAGUGCUCCCAGCCAUCUAGAAAUGAAGCCAUGAAUCAACUUUCUCUCCCUACUUUCUACACAGCCUCUCCAUUCAUUCUUGACUGUAUGAGAGUUCCUGGACAACCUAGAAUGAAGACCAGAGCUCUGACUAUGUGA